AAUCUGAACAUCAGUGCUUUCUGUUUUCAACCAGUCAGGAAAGAAGGAGCUGACGGAGCCGCUGACCUUCAGCUGAUGCUGCGAUCUGAAACAGAGACUGUUUCCUCCUGGGAGCUGCAGACAGACCUGGAACCACAGAAGAUGGAGGGAAAAUAAAGAUGAAGAUAGUUUGAUGAGGCUGGAAUUUUCUAUAGCAGCUGAAUAAAGUCCUGAGAAUCCCUGAGGACUCGCUGUGCAGAUCGACCAAAGGGAGCAGACAGCAUGGCAGCAGCACAGCCUG
Molecule: long non-coding RNA, 280 nt
Organism: Cyprinodon tularosa
Lineage: Eukaryota; Metazoa; Chordata; Actinopteri; Cyprinodontiformes; Cyprinodontidae
Exons: 3
Source: RefSeq, a predicted model, not a curated record